This 134-nucleotide non-coding RNA is filed under the name marine eukaryotic metagenome. RNAcentral's name for it is "Glycine riboswitch". It matches the Rfam family "Glycine riboswitch aptamer", at positions 9 to 86 of the family's 94-position model. From Rfam's summary of the family: This family represents the bacterial glycine riboswitch. Glycine riboswitches usually consist of two metabolite-binding aptamers domains with similar structures in tandem. The record is from RNAcentral.
GACUCUGGAGAGCGGCCGGCGCGACCGGCCCACCGAAGGGGUAAAGGGCAUUUCUAUUCAUUGCUUGUGAACUCUGCGCAAGCCAAGCAAUGAAUAGAAACGUCCUAAAGCUCUCAGGUAAACGGACAGAGGGG